AGGUGAGCAUCUCCUCACACACUUUCGGGGUCAUCAGUCAGGAGCAGCUUGACGAGGCUUUGGCGUAGGCAACUCAAGCUCAGGAGCAUGCAUCUCCAGUUGAGGAGCACACAUCUCAGGCUCAAGAGUGCGCAAGCCAGCUACAAAGUGUCAUAUCCGCUAUGGUGACAUAGCUCUCCGUUACUCUUGAAGCUGAUUUUUCAAGUAUUC
Molecule: long non-coding RNA, 210 nt
Filed under: Elaeis guineensis (African oil palm)
Lineage: Eukaryota; Viridiplantae; Streptophyta; Magnoliopsida; Arecales; Arecaceae
Description: long non-coding RNA (EGUI_LNC042820)
Source: RNAcentral